Molecule: long non-coding RNA, 587 nt
Filed under: Astyanax mexicanus (Mexican tetra)
Lineage: Eukaryota; Metazoa; Chordata; Actinopteri; Characiformes; Acestrorhamphidae
Description: lncRNA (ENSAMXG00005010711.1)
Source: RNAcentral
UGCCAGUGUGUGUGGAGGCGAUAAGUGUUAUCCUUCUUUAAUCUCCACUGUUAUAAACCUUUUAAUCUCUUCAGGUGUUCCACCUGGACCAUGAGCUCCGAGGGCUACUCCUGCAGUGAGGACAGUAUUUCUCCUGAAUUUACAGAGAAAAAUCUUUCUCUGGAUGAUAUAACAGACCACUCGGAGCCGUCCACACAGAGACUCUCUCCUGUUUCCAGCUGUGUGUCUAUGAAGAGUGAUAGAUCUAUGGAGCCUCCACACAGCUUCAGCCAAGCCUCCAGUGAUCCAUCCCAUCAACGAUCCCCCUUAUUGUGUCAUCGGAAGACACCGAUCUGUAAAUCCCGGUCCAGAAGUGCAUGCGUUUGUGACGAGACCUGUAGAGGUAAAACCCAUAAUCGCAUGCAUGCGCAGCCAUGUGCAUGCUGUGGUGGAAGCAUCCCUCGCUGCUGCAUGCAACAGGUCAGUCCACUGCUGUAUCUGAUCCAGUGUCAGUGUGGUGCUGAAAAUAGACCUGUGGUGUCCUGAGUAUUUAAGAACAGGGUGAAAGGAGGAUCGUAAUAAAGGCAAAGCAAUGAAGUUUAUCUGCA